GAUGAACGCUGGCGGCGUGCCUAACACAUGCAAGUCGAGCGAUUCUCUUCGGAGAAGAGCGGCGGACGGGUGAGUAACGCGUGGGUAACCUGCCCUGUACACACGGAUAACAUACCGAAAGGUAUGCUAAUACGAGAUAAUAUGCUUUUAUCGCAUGGUAGAAGUAUCAAAGUUUUUGCGGUACAGGAUGGACCCGCGUCUGAUUAGCUAGUUGGUAAGGUAACGGCUUACCAAGGCGACGAUCAGUAGCCGACCUGAGAGGGUGAUCGGCCACAUUGGAACUGAGACACGGUCCAAACUCCUACGGGAGGCAGCAGUGGGGAAUAUUGCACAAUGGGCGAAAGCCUGAUGCAGCAACGCCGCGUGAGCGAUGAAGGCCUUCGGGUCGUAAAGCUCUGUCCUCAAGGAAGAUAAUGACGGUACUUGAGGAGGAAGCCCCGGCUAACGUACGUG
This 453-nucleotide ribosomal RNA is filed under the name uncultured bacterium. RNAcentral's name for it is "bacterial SSU rRNA". It matches the Rfam family "Bacterial small subunit ribosomal RNA", at positions 28 to 507 of the family's 1533-position model. The record is from RNAcentral.